GAGCUAAAUCCCCAGCCCCUUAUUUACUUUUUUUUUGGUACUGAGGAAAGAACUCAGGACCUUGCGCUUACCAGGCAAGCACUUGAGGUGCUGAGUUGAAUCCCUGACCCUCUCCCUUUAUUUUUUAAAUAUUUAUUUAUUUUAAAAUUUGAGACAUGACCUAGGUUAUCCAUGCAGGCCUCAACUUGGCCAUCCUCCUGUCUCAGUCUCUUCUGUAACUGGGAUUACAGGUGUGUGCCCUUUGUCUGGCCGGGGUCUCCUUUUAUGUUGCAGCUGCCACUUGAGGUAUUUCUGCUCCAGGCCAAACUUGAGGUGGCUGUUCUGGGUAAAGUCCGAGGCCUGGAACGGUUUCCUAAAGUGGACCCUAUAUUGGUGGAGCUCGUGGCUGAGUCACCAGGUAGGCAGUAUAGGAUGGUGGUGGCGAACCUGUGCCAUGGAUGCUGCAGCAGGCUGUUAUCACUGGAAGCUCUGAGAGGUUCGCCAGCACUGGUUUAGGAUUACCCAUGCAUGUCACUCUGCCCCUUCUCAGGGCUGAGAGUGGCCCCCUCUAAAUAUAGCCCAGUGGGCUGAGCUCAGCUUUAUUUUAAGCCCACGUUGGGAGGUGGCCAGGCCUUCCCAGGCUCCCAGAGGAGCCACUGCUGCCUUUGUUCACUCCUGCUACAGGACACCCUCAUCGUCCCCGACUGUCUACCACUUGCUAUGCCUGAGGAGACCCAAGAAGACACUGUGACACCAACACAGAGCCAGAAAACCAGGGGGCUCCUGGCUCCUAGCCAUGUGCCCGAGGUGCAGCUACACCGAGUGGAAUCCAUCAGCGACCUACACGGUGAAGGCUUGACACACCCGUAUCUGGCUGAGGAGGCCCGGCCAUGGGAUGAGUUGCUGGGUGUCUUGCCACCGUCACUGUGUGCCCAGGCUGGCUGUAGUACAGCAUUUGGUCGUGGCGGGUUCCUGCUGCUGCUGGUACUGCUAGUGCUCACCUGCCUGGCACUUGCCAUCCUGGCUGUCUACUUGAGCGGUAGGGACAGGCAAGGCAGGUGGGGACCACAGGGACUGGGAGGCUCUCUGGAAGAUGCUGCAGCGGUGAAGGGCAGGGGUCAGUGGGCAGCUGCUGCUGGGCUAUGGAGGUCUGAGGCAGCAUGUAAUCUAACAAGGUCCCACAAACACCUGCCCAUCCGCAGUACUGCAGAGUGA
This 1194-nucleotide long non-coding RNA is filed under the name Cavia porcellus (domestic guinea pig). RNAcentral's name for it is "lncRNA (ENSCPOG00000040361.1)". Lineage: Eukaryota; Metazoa; Chordata; Mammalia; Rodentia; Caviidae. The record is from RNAcentral.